AGAGUUUGAUCAUGGCUCAGGAUGAACGCUAGCUACAGGCUUAACACAUGCAAGUCGAGGGGAAACGAUAGGGAAAGCUUGCUUUCCUUAGGCGUCGACCGGCGCACGGGUGAGUAACGCGUAUCCAACCUGCCCAUGUCUGGGGAAUAACCCGUCGAAAGGCGGACUAACUCCCCAUGGUCUCCGAUGAGGACAUCUGAAUUGGAGUAAAGCUUCGCGGACAUGGAUGGGGAUGCGUCUGAUUAGGUAGUAGGCGGGGUAACGGCCCACCUAGCCUACGAUCAGUAGGGGUUCUGAGAGGAAGGUCCCCCACAUUGGAACUGAGACACGGUCCAAACUCCUACGGGAGGCAGCAGUGAGGAAUAUUGGUCAAUGGACGAGGGUCUGAACCAGCCAAGUAGCGUGCAGGAUGACGGCCCUAUGGGUUGUAAACUGCUUUUGCGCGGGGAUAACACCCUCCACGUGCUGGAGGUCUGCAGGUACCGCGCGAAUAAGGACCGGCUAAUUCCGUGCCCAGCAGCCGCGGUAAUACGGAAGGUCCGGGCGUUAUCCGGAUUUAUUUGGGGUUUAAAGGGAGCGU
RNAcentral lists this ribosomal RNA (580 nucleotides) under uncultured bacterium. RNAcentral describes it as "bacterial SSU rRNA". It matches the Rfam family "Bacterial small subunit ribosomal RNA", at positions 8 to 572 of the family's 1533-position model. The record is from RNAcentral.